UUCAACAUUAUUUUUUCGCUUUAGGUUGUGAUAGAUGUGAAAAAGAAUUACAAACAUAGAAACAUAGAAAAGCUUUAAAAUAAUCUGAAAAUUGUAAGCAAAAACGUAAAGUUCUUCUGAAAACUAAAAAAAUGGAUUUCUUAGUUCUGUUUGUCAUUUAUCAUCUAUUAUUUGCAGUAUAUGGAUUUAAGAUGAAGGUGAUGGUGACGGCAACGAAGGUGGCAGCGGACGUGAUGGCGAUGGCAACGGAGGUGAUAAUGAUGGGUCGGACGGCGGCAACAAUUGGGUUAAUGUUGAAUUCUAAAAAAAAUUAACUUUAUAAAUGCACGUAUUUAUAUAAUUAAAAUAAAUUAGUUGUUUACC
This is a long non-coding RNA of Bactrocera tryoni, 363 nucleotides long. RefSeq lists it as uncharacterized. NCBI's taxonomy places the organism in Eukaryota, Metazoa, Arthropoda, Insecta, Diptera, Tephritidae. The record is from RefSeq and is a predicted model, not a curated record. The transcript is spliced from 3 exons.